Molecule: long non-coding RNA, 4170 nt
Filed under: Bos grunniens (domestic yak)
Lineage: Eukaryota; Metazoa; Chordata; Mammalia; Artiodactyla; Bovidae
Description: lncRNA (ENSBGRG00000007090.1)
Source: RNAcentral
UGUAUGUAUGCCAUAUACUGACACGGAUGGCUGUAGAUAUAGAUGCCACAAUAAUGUCCCACUGUGUGUGUGGUGUGUGUAUGUCCCACUGUGUGUGUGGUGUGUGUAUGUCCCACUGUGUGUGUGGAGUGUGUAUGUCCCACUGUGUGUGUGGUGUGUGUAUGUCCCACUGUGUGUGGUGUGUAUGUCCCACUGUGUGGAGGUGUGUGUCCCACUGUGUGUGUGUGGUGUGUGUCCCACUGUGUGUGUGGUGUGUGUGUCCCACUGUGUGUGUGGUGUGUGUGUGUCCCACUGUGUGUGUGGAGUGUGUGUGUCCCACUGUGUGUGUGGAGUGUGUGUGUCCCACUGUGUGUGUGGAGUGUGUGUGUCCCACUGUGUGUGUGGUGUGUGUGUGUCCCACUGUGUGUGUGGUGUGUGUAUGUCCCACUGUGUGUGUGGUGUGUGUAUGUAUGCCAUAUACUGACACAGAUGGCUGUAGAUAUAGAUGCCACAAUAAUGUCCCACUGUGUGUGUGGUGUGUGUAUGUAUACUAUACACUGACACGGAUGGCUGUAGAUACAGACGCCACAACGUCAUCCAUUCUUCCAUUGAUGAGCAUUGUUUCCACAUCUUGGAUAUUGUAGGUUUUAUUUUAUGGCAAAACGAAAAUUUGGCAACCUUAGGCCAAAGUCCCAUAAUUGUUUUGUUGAUUGGUUAAGCAGACUGGGACACAUGUUUUCCAACAGCCCCUGACCAAGGGCUGAAGAUAGACCCCAAGAUUUAUAACUCAAGCCAGGAGCAUCUCAUUGCCUCUCCCCGCCUUUCUCAGUAGGUUGGGCAGUUGAACACAUAACAGACCACUCUGCUGAAUUCCUUGAUGUUUCUGUGAGACAUUUGCCUGGACUUGCUGCUGCUGCUGCUGCGAAGUCGCUUCAGUCGUGUCCGACUGUGUGACCCCAGAGACGGCAGCCCACCAGGCUCCCCCGUCCCUGGGAUUCUCCAGGCAAGAGCACUGGAGUGGGCUGCCAUUUCCUUCUCCAAUGCAGGAAAGUGAAAAGUGAAAGAGAAGUCGUUCAGUCGUGUCCGACUCUUAGUGACCCCAUGGACGGCAGCCCACCAGGCUCCUCCAUCCAUGGGAUUUUCCAGGCAAGAGUACAGGAGUGGACUUGAGUUCUGCCUAAUCUUCAGCAAACAUUAGAUAGGGAAGUAAUGUUUAUCAAAUCAAUUUCCAGGCGGAGAAUCUACAUUCCCCCCAGCAUGCCUAGAAGUCUACAGAUAAGUCCACGACUGCUUAUUGUGACCUUUAAAAGACACUCGAAGAAAUAUUAAAUAUCUUCCCUUCCAGAUUCCACUGAGGCAUCAAAUGCCACAAUUAUAAAAAUCAUUCAGUCAGAAGCAAACACUUAAUUCUCAACAGCUAUUCUUGAGUAAUGCAUAGCAGUUGUCAGUCAUUCACAUCCUAGUAAAAGUGAGUUUAUCACGUGCUUUUUUUCUGCAAUGUGGGUUGAGAGUAACUUCAUAAUGACUGUAUCUAUCAUUUAUUGAACAAUCACCAUGAGUGGAAACUGCUUUUUAGAUUCUUAACAGUAUCAAAAUUCUUAUAAAGAAUUACAUUAGAGCAUUUUAGAUUAAAGAUUAAAUGAGAUCAUACAUAUAAAAUACUUAGAAAAUGCCUGAUAAUUUAGAGAAGUGUUAUGUCAGUAUUUAUUAUUAUAUUCUUUUUUGCUUGUUUGUUUUGGCGAUGCCACAUGGCUUGCAGGAUAUCCUAAUUCCCUGACCAGGGACUUAAUCCAGGUUCCAACAAUGAGAACACCAAGUCCUAACCACUGCACAACCAGGGGAUUCCUGGCAUUUAUUUUAAUCAUGUCAUUUAAUUCUCACUACUUUACGAGGUUGAUAUCACUAUCCCCAUUUUACAGAUGAUGAAAUUGAGGCUCCAGGAGGAAAUGUCACUUGCUCAAAAUCAGACAGCUAGUAAGUAGCAGUUUGAGAUUCAAAGUCAGGCAAUUCAACCCUGUGGUGGAAAAGGGCACAGAAGCAGAGGAGGGAACCUCAGUGAAACGAAAAUGCUGCCUAUUGUGGGGCUGGCUAUGAUUCCAAAUGCUUACCUGCACACUACUCAGGGUGUAGAGUGUUACACUACAACCUCGCGUACCCUGAGACACGUCUGAGGUCGUGGCCUUACGCUCAGAAAUGCUCCUGCUCUGGGCCAGAAGGCAAGCAUGAACGCAGACAGCCAUAAGACCAGGGCACCCAGGCGGCUUUCCAAGGACCUACCAGGAGGACUUGGAGCAGAACAGCCCAGACCCAAGGCUCCGAGCUGGAAUGUUGGGCUAUAGGGACCUCGGCUCCAAGUCAGAUGUCAGGACACUUGGCUGACAGAGAAUUCUUUUUCUAGUUUUUUAAUUUAUGAGAAAAGUCUCACCAAGAUAGCUUAAAAAUUACUUUACUAGACCUUCAUUGGUGGUGGUGGUUUAGUCGCUAAGUUGUGUCCAACUCUUGCGACCCCACGAACCCUGCCAGGCUCCUCCAUCCAUGGGGUUUCCCAGGAAAGAAUACUGGAGAGAGUUGCUGUUUCCUUCUCCAGGGGAUCUUCCUGACCCAGGGAUCAAACCUCAUCUCCCGCAUUGCAGGCAGAUUCUUUGCCACUGAGCCACCAGGGAAGCCCGUACAACAAGACCCGCAUUGCCCUAAUUGAAAAAGGUUGAAGUGCAGGAAGUCAGUCCAGUCAUCGUGGUUACAGCCUGCUCUGAGGUCCCACUCCAGCAGGGUGGGUGACGUGAGGAUCUAAGACCGCCCGCCGCUUCCCGCUGGGCCCCCCUUACCAGCCCCCACGGUCCUCACAAGAACGAGAGAGCCAACAUCGCUCCCGGGUCAGGUGCCCCAGUGACAAGGAAAAUAAAGCCUCCGGAUACACUCAGCACUGGGGUGCCGACGACUAGUCUCAGCUUAGUAGCUCCAAAAUCACACGGUUCACAUCCAGUCAAUAGGUGCUUUCUGAACAACCGCUACAGGCCAGGUCAUAAUCCCCUCGGAUACGAAAGUGAGUAAGCCCCAGCUGCCAACUUCAAAGGGCUGACAGUCAAGUAGGGCACAGACAAUGGCAUUACGUCACAGUUCCAGGAAAAAGUGCUCACCCAGGAAUGCCUGGUAUUGGUGGGGCUGCUCGAGCUGCCCAAAAUCACUGUCAAAAUCAGACAUCACUUAUUAACUCAGAAUGAGAAAUGUGCUUUUCAGCACGACUGACAGCCUUGAGCUGGCUGGUCGGUGUAUUCUCUCCCUGCAGAAAAGCUUCUAUCCAAAGCCAAUGUCUUUUCGGAAGGAUGAACCAUGAGCCUGGAAUUGGAGCAUAUGGAAGAAACUGGACCAGCCUCGCUAUGAAAUCAGACCAGCAACCAGAACGCUUGGCUCAGCUGGGACAUCACUCAGGCAGGUUACGUCUUCAGCUGACGGUACUGUAACCUGUCUGGUUGUUACAUUCCAGCCCCGAGGACACACCUGGCCCACCUCCUAGGUCUCCACAGCAUCACAGCCCAGUGGGUCACUUGUGACAUGAGGCUGACCUCUGCCAGUGAAGUUCAUUUUCCCCAGGGCCAGCCUGGGAGGCCACAGGCUCCUAGGUCCAUGAACUCAGGGUGUCUGCAUCGUCCCUCUAAACACGGGGGACCCCACUCCAUGGCAUGGUAUCUUCAUUUUGCUAAAAUUCAAGGGCGCCCCAAAUGGACUACAUCUUAAGAAAUGCUUGAGCAUUUGGCAACAGUCCUUGUUUUUUCCAACUCUGCUUCUGUAAAACCCCAGGGUUCAUCCAGUCAAAGGACCUGGUAGAAAUUCUCCUGGUUUCACAUGAAUCCCAGGAUGCAAACCAGCAGAGGGAACCAGUAGAGAUGGGCUGGGAAGCAGAAGCACUAGAAAUGAUGAAGGACCCUGGCCUCAAAGUCAGGAAACCUGGAUUUGAAUCCUAAAACAUCUUACUCAUUAUGUGAUCCUGACCAAUUAAGGCAUCCCUUUGGAGCUCCACAUUCCUCACCUACAAGACAAAGAUGACAAAGAUAUAUCUUAGAGUCAUUGUGGGUGUUAACAAUGGAAUAAUCAGUGCCUGGUAUAUAACAAAUGCUCAUAAAUGUUAGGCACUUCCCAGGCAGCGCAGCAGUAAAGAAUCUGCCUGCCAAGGCAGGAGACACAAGAGACGUA